RNAcentral lists this long non-coding RNA (1069 nucleotides) under Chelydra serpentina (North American snapping turtle). RNAcentral describes it as "lncRNA (ENSCSRG00000005307.1)". The record is from RNAcentral. Lineage: Eukaryota; Metazoa; Chordata; Testudines; Chelydridae.
CCGCCGGCAGGCGCGUGCCCCAGGUCACACGUACACACACCUCCCAGCCGCAGGAGCGCAGCACGGACACUCAGCCACACCCCCCAGGCCUGGCCUUAAAACAGCCCCCCCGCCAUGCAAGCAUCUCUCCUAAAUGCACGACAGACACGCACCCUCCCACCGCUGCUCGGACUCACCUCCCCGUGCGCUCACACUCCUUCCACACACGUGCACUCAGCCCCCACCCCCAGCCACUCCUGCUCGUACAAGUGCGCCGCUGCAUGAUUGUCCCUGUGCCCCCAGCGUGCCCUGCCGGGCCGUCACACACCUCUCGGGGUGCAAUCACAGCCAGUCACUCACACCCCUCUGACACACACACACACAGCAUGCCUGCUGCAAGCCCUGCACUCACACCUUGCCACCCUGAGCACACUGGCACUCCCACAUGGCCACACACAUCCAGCCGUGUGCACACACAUCCUAUGCCCCACUGCUCACACACCACCUUCACACUCGUGCCAUGGACACCACCCCUCUUACACCCCCUGCCAACCAACCACAGCCUGCCAGGGCUGCUCACACUCACACGCCCCCCUCCGUUCCCAGACAAAUCCCCCUGCCACACGGCUGCCUCAUUCACACACACUGGACUCAUGUGUGCACACGCACAAUGCAGGACAUGCUCACCCGCUUGCACUCUGACAUGCACCACUGCGGCCUUGCACACUAGCCCUGCAGAGUCCUCCUGCACACGUGCUACAUGCUCACACCCGUGCAUUGCUUACACAUCUGCUGCUGCAAGUUCACAAGCACGUGCAUUCACCCCCCACACACACACAGCUGGUCACGCCUGCAGGCCAUGCAUUCACACACCAUUCUCACUGAUGCACACCACGGGCUCGCACACUUCCCCCCCACACGUCCCACAAACAUGCACACGCCUCCCUCCUCCCCCACAGGUGCUGGGCCACAGACACUCAAACGGCACCCACAGCUGCCAUAAACGUACCCGGGCAUGCACGAUUCCCCGGCUCUCACACACGCACCGACUUCUUGCACGCCAGGCAUAUUCCCAAAUGCUUCUCUCCCC